UUACUCUGCCGUGUGACUGGCGUUUCCUCCCUGAACUUGGCCCGCUGGCCCUAUGGUCGGCGGGCUUUUUUCUGGCCAUA
RNAcentral lists this small RNA (80 nucleotides) under Acidiphilium rubrum. Its description in RNAcentral is "Makes More Granules Regulator RNA (mmgR)". It matches the Rfam family "Makes More Granules Regulator RNA (mmgR)". From Rfam's summary of the family: SuhB later renamed mmgR (makes more granules regulator) was a putative non-coding RNA found multiple times in the Agrobacterium tumefaciens genome and related alpha-proteobacteria. Other non-coding RNAs uncovered in the same analysis include: speF, ybhL, metA, and serC. The record is from Rfam by way of RNAcentral. Lineage: Bacteria; Pseudomonadati; Pseudomonadota; Alphaproteobacteria; Acetobacterales; Acidocellaceae.